Molecule: ribosomal RNA, 440 nt
Filed under: uncultured bacterium
Lineage: Bacteria
Description: partial 16S ribosomal RNA
Rfam family: Bacterial small subunit ribosomal RNA
Source: RNAcentral
CCUACGGGUGGCAGCAGUGGGGAAUAUUGCACAAUGGGGGAAACCCUGAUGCAGCGACGCCGCGUGAAGGAAGAAGUAUUUCGGUAUGUAAACUUCUAUCAGCAGGGAAGAAAAUGACGGUACCUAACCAAGAAUCCCCUGCUAACUACGUCCCAGCAGCCGCGGUAAUACGUAGGGGGCAAGCGUUAUCCGGUUUUACUGGGUGUAAAGUGAGCGGAGGCGGUUUAGCAAGUCAGAAGUGAAAGCCCGGGGCUCAACGCCGGGACUGCUUUUGAAACUGUUGAACUAGAUUGCGUGAGAGGUUAGUGGAAUUCCAGGUGUAGCAGAGAAAUGCGUAGAUAUUAGGAGGAACACCAGUGGCGAAGGCGACUUACUGGAAUGUAAAUGACGCUGAGGCUCGAAAGCGUGGGGAGCAAACAGGAUUAGAUACCCCGGUAGUC